Molecule: ribosomal RNA, 519 nt
Filed under: uncultured bacterium
Lineage: Bacteria
Description: bacterial SSU rRNA
Rfam family: Bacterial small subunit ribosomal RNA
Source: RNAcentral
GAUCAUGGCUCAGGACGAACGCUGGCGGCGUGCCUAACACAUGCAAGUCGAGCGGGGACAUUGCGACGGAGACGAAGUACUCGUACGGAGUCAAAGAUGUAAUGUUCUAGCGGCGGACGGGUGAGUAACGCGUGAGCAACCUGUCCCUUACAGGGGGAUAACACAGCGAAAGUUGUACUAAUACCGCAUAAGACCACAGAGUGACAUCGCUCAGGGGUCAAAGGAGCAAUCCGGUAAGGGGUGGGCUCGCGUCCGAUUAGAUAGUUGGUGAGGUAACGGCCCACCAAGUCGACGAUCGGUAGCCGACCUGAGAGGGUGAUCGGCCACAUUGGGACUGAGACACGGCCCAAACUCCUACGGGAGGCAGCAGUGGGGAAUAUUGGGCAAAUGGGGGAAACCCUGACCCAGCAACGCCGCGUGAGGGAAGAAGGUUUUCGGAUCGUAAACCUCUGUCCCAGGUGAAGAGGAAGAGACGGUAGCCUGGGAGGAAGCCCCGGCUAACUACGUGCCAGCCGCGGC